UGGGUCCCGAAGGAAGGCAAGAUGUUGGCAUAGCUGUUGAACUCUGAGGCCUGCUAUGCCAACAACUUGCCAUCUUUCUCUCCCCUUUGCAGCCA
Molecule: microRNA precursor, 95 nt
Filed under: Poecilia formosa (Amazon molly)
Lineage: Eukaryota; Metazoa; Chordata; Actinopteri; Cyprinodontiformes; Poeciliidae
Description: microRNA 31 (ENSPFOG00000021265.1)
Rfam family: mir-31 microRNA precursor family (bases 4-84)
Source: RNAcentral